Molecule: long non-coding RNA, 2348 nt
Organism: Antechinus flavipes (yellow-footed antechinus)
Lineage: Eukaryota; Metazoa; Chordata; Mammalia; Dasyuromorphia; Dasyuridae
Exons: 3
Source: RefSeq, a predicted model, not a curated record
UGAUCAUUCCCUUUUAUUGACUCACCUUUCUGAUUAAAUCCAUCUUCUCUACAUCCACCCUAUAAAUAUCUAAUCAUUUGUUCCAGUUCCCAUAUUGUCUUAUCAUUAGAUUAUAAACUCCCUUAGGGGAGAGAAUGAUUCUUGUUUUCUUAAUAUCUCCAGUACUGAAUACAAUGCCUGACACAAAGUGCUCAAUACAUACUUAUCAACUGUCUCUUCCACGUUCAAAUAUCUUCAGUAGCUCCCUAUUGCCAUUUAACUUUCAAACCCUUCACCAUCUCUAUUUUAUUUUUCCUUAAUGGCUACACCCUACUCCCAUUCAGUCAUGACAUCAUGACUUCUUUGACAUCCCAUGGACCCAAUGUUCCCAUUCCUCACCUUUGCCAAGCUGCCUUCCAUACCUGGGAUGUUCUCCCCUGCUCAGCGUUGCCUCCUGAAUAAAAUGGAUUCUUCAGGGCCAAACUCGGGGGCUCUCCACUAUCAAAAGAUUCUCUUAAUGUUCUCAGUUGGUGAUGCUCUCCCCAUUCCUGAGCCUUGAAAAUUAUCAUUGUUCUUGUUUUGCUGAUAUUCUUGCUGUUGUUAUUCUUAUACCACGCCUGUGAUUGGCAAGGAAAUGGCAAGGAAUCUCCUGGCAAGGAACAUCCUCCAUUGGUGUAGUUUGGCAGCUUCUCCCCAACUUAAUCUUAGAGAAUCAGAUGAGAGAUUAAGAGAUUUUCUCCAAUCAGGAAGAGAAUCUAAGGCAGAUGGCAGCCUUGACUCCAAGGUCAGCUCUCCCAUUUUGUCUCCCAUUGGGUAAAAAUCAUCUUUUUUUUUUUUUAAAUCUGUAAAUACAUUGAUUUCCUCCUUUCAAAUGUAAGCUUGUUGAAGGCAGGAUCUGUUUAGUCUUUGUAUCUUGAUCGAUACCCAUUGGAAGAAUAAACAAACGAAAGCAUGGAAGCCGUCAGAAAAUAUCUUAAGCCUCCCAGAGACUUGAAGACCACUGGUGAUUUCUCACUGGAUUUGGAUCAUGGAGGAGCUCAAGAAGUCUUCCAAUCACAUGACCUGAAGAACCUCAAGGUAAAAAAUAAAAGAAAACUCAAGUUCUGCUCCUUCAUUCAUUGUUCACUCUCCCUAGACAGAAAUUAAGCCAUUUUCUGUCAUUGAAAUGGUGAGGAAUUCCUCUCCUGCCAUUCCAAAUGCCCAGUGAACGUCACCAGAGUGAUCAGGGAGUCCACACUGACUGGCUUUCCAUGAAGAGAAAUGAAAGAAUUUAGAAACACCCCACUCAUUAUGAUAACUGAAAACCAAAAAUCUCCUUAGGCGUUGGAAUUGCCCAUUUGCAGUAAUCUCUCUCUUGUUAGGAUUGCCAGUGAACCAGGAAAAAAAGAAAAAGAAAAGAAAAGAAACCUGCUAGUUACUGAAAUCAUUAAUGGGCAGCUUGCACCCAAGUCCCUCUCUCUGCAGGAAAGUCCUCUGGGCCAUCACUCAGAACCUACUGACUCAUCCCCAUCUCACGUUUCUAACAAAUGGGGUUUUCUGAUAUCGCAGACUUAAGCAGAUAGAAACAACUAAUAUUAAGAAUGGGAUAGGUUGCAAGAAGUAGAGACAGAUAACAGGAAGAUCAGCUAGUGAGGAGGGAGGGCACAGCAGUCACUGGAUUACAAGACUAGAAGGAGGGACUGUCAAAAUGGUAGCCCUGAGUCAUCAAGAAAAGGGCAAAGGACAGAGAGAGUUUUUCUUUUUUUCUUUUAGGAGAUAGAGAAGUGUAUGCCAGCUUAAGAGACAUGAUGGAGUCUUGAGUGACUGCAUCAUAUUACCAAAGAUGAUCUGGGCAUGAGAAGUGGGGAAAGGAUAGCAGGGAGCUGGUGGAUAAAUGGAAAGGGAAGCAGGUAAGUCAUGGAACUGGUGGAUAAAUGGAAAGGGAAGUGGAAAAGUCAUGGAGCUGGUGGAUAAAUGGAAAGGGAAGCAGGUAAGUCAUGGAGCUGAUGGAUAAUGGAAAGGGAAGCAGGCAAGUCAUGGAGCUGGUGGAUAAAUGGAAAGGGAAGCAGGUAAGUCAUGGAGCUGGUGGAUAAAUGGAAAGGGAAGUAGGCAAGUCAUGGAGCUGGUGGAUAAAUGGAAAGGGAAGCAGGCAAGUCAUGGAACAUGAAUGAGAGCUACCAGAUGGAUACUAAGCCCAGACAAUGAAGGAUGUCCACAGGAGGCCGGCAGCCUCCCCUCAGGGAACUGGUAGGAGACAUGGAGACCAAUGCCCUGGCAUGAGAAGGAGCACAGUGUCCUUGGCUGGGAACCUGGAGUGAUCACAGCAACCCCAGGGAGCAGAAGUUAUCAAGUUUCUGCACAGCAUCGAGGAAACAGGAAUGCUCUGCCUA